Molecule: unclassified non-coding RNA, 142 nt
Filed under: soil metagenome
Description: partial internal transcribed spacer 1
Source: RNAcentral
CCUAGAGUUGUAGGCUUUGCCUGCUAUCUCUUACCCAUGUCUUUUGAGUACCUUCGUUUCCCUCGGCGGGUCCGCCCGCCGAUUGGACAAUUUUAAAACCAUUUGCAGUUGCAAUCAGGCGUCUGAAAAAACUUAAUAGUUA